GACGAACGCUGGCGGCGUGCUUAACACAUGCAAGUCGAACGGAAAGGCCCUGCUUUUGUGGGGUUCUCGAGUGGCGAACGGGUGAGUAACACGUGAGUAACCUGCCCUUGACUUUGGGAUAACUUCAGGAAACUGGGGCUAAUACCGGAUAGGAGCUCCUGCUGCAUGGUGGGGGUUGGAACGUUUCGGCGGUUGGGGAUGGACUCGCGGCUUAUCAGCUUGUUGGUGGGGUAGUGGCUUACCAAGGCUUUGACGGGUAGCCGGCCUGAGAGGGUGACCGGCCACAUUGGGACUGAGAUACGGCCCAGACUCCUACGGGAGGCAGCAGUGGGGAAUAUUGCACAAUGGGCGGAAGCCUGAUGCAGCAACGCCGCGUGCGGGAUGACGGCCUUCGGGUUGUAAACCGCUUUCGCCUGUGACGAAGCGUGAGUGACGGUAAUGGGUAAAGAAGCACCGGCUAACUACGUG
Molecule: ribosomal RNA, 468 nt
Filed under: uncultured bacterium
Lineage: Bacteria
Description: partial 16S ribosomal RNA
Rfam family: Bacterial small subunit ribosomal RNA
Source: RNAcentral